CAGCAGCCGCGGGAAUACGGAGGGUGCAAGCGUUAAUCGGAAUUACUGGGCGUAAAGCGCACGCAGGCGGUUUGUUAAGUCAGAUGUGAAAUCCCCGGGCUCAACCUGGGAACUGCAUUUGAAACUGGCAAGCUAGAGUCUCGUAGAGGGGGGUAGAAUUCCAGGUGUAGCGGUGAAAUGCGUAGAGAUCUGGAGGAAUACCGGUGGCGAAGGCGGCCCCCUGGACGAAGACUGACGCUCAGGUGCGAAAGCGUGGGGAGCAAACAGGAUUAGAUACCCCGGUAGUCCCUGUCUCUUAUAC
Molecule: ribosomal RNA, 301 nt
Filed under: uncultured bacterium
Lineage: Bacteria
Description: partial 16S ribosomal RNA
Rfam family: Bacterial small subunit ribosomal RNA
Source: RNAcentral